Molecule: ribosomal RNA, 212 nt
Filed under: Streptomyces albus subsp. albus
Lineage: Bacteria; Bacillati; Actinomycetota; Actinomycetes; Kitasatosporales; Streptomycetaceae
Description: partial 23S ribosomal RNA
Source: RNAcentral
CGACAGGCGUAGUCGAUGGACAACCGGUUGAUAUUCCGGUACCCGCUUUGAAGCGCCAAACAUCGAAUCCAUUAAUGCUAAGGCCGUGAAGCCGCCCUGGAGUCUUCGGACAAAGGGGAGUGGUGGAGCCGCUGACCCAAGGUGGUAGUAGGUGAGUGAUGGGGUGACGCAGGAAGGUAGUCCAGCCCGGGCGGUGGUUGUCCCGGGGUAAG